CAAUGGGAAAAAUCAAUCCACAUUAAUGUAUAAAAUCAAUCCAAAACAUAUCAAGUUGAACAUUAAUCUAAAAUAAAUGUGUCCAACACAAAUUAAUUGGCUACACUUUCAUCCAUACGCUAAAUAUCGGAGUAAUCUACAUCCUCUCCUCAGAAGCCACUAUAAUUAACUUCAGCUAAUAAAGGUUUUUGGUUAAUUUCUCAACUUCCUUAAGCAAACCACCAUCAUGAAGCUUGCCAGUAAAGUUUGAAUAUCCUUAGCCAAAGCUUUCAUGUGAGACAUCACUGCAUCAAGACAAAAUUUUUGCUUGAGAAUAUAUUAUACGCUAUAGCAAAAGUAAACACUAAAAAAAGUAAACUACGCAUGGUUUUUCCUAUUUACUGCACUUUAUUUUGCAACAAGUCUAAGCAGAAAAAACAGGAUGCUCACUACCAAACCAAAAAGAAAGCAAUUAGAAUAUAAAGUGGUGUAAUACUGGUAAACAAAACUGGGCAGAAAGCAUCACAAUGGUUGCAGAUUGCAAUAUGAUAUUACUCUUAAGUCUCAAAUUACCCUCUUUUGUAUUUUUCCAAAGAUCUAUAUAGACAUGUUGUGCAGCAAACCCACCUACAAAUCGAACCAAUCAAUUAAUUAGUGAAGGAUUUGAAAAAGAAAAAUGGAAGAAAACCAAUAACCAAAAAUUAUAAAAUUGAAGAACAAUUU
RNAcentral lists this long non-coding RNA (702 nucleotides) under Olea europaea (common olive). RNAcentral describes it as "long non-coding RNA (OEUR_LNC014760)". The record is from RNAcentral. Lineage: Eukaryota; Viridiplantae; Streptophyta; Magnoliopsida; Lamiales; Oleaceae.